ACUUUGAUCAGGAAAGAGUUCUUCUUUACUGGCAAUUUAAGGAAUGGUCAAUAAAAAUUACUCCUGACAAUUAAAAUUUGGUCUUCCCUCUAAUUUUUUUCCUGUGAAUUAUUCCCGCCUGGAUAUAUUUACCCGCAAACUGCAAAACUGUAAUCUUUACAUAGAGAUCCACAAAAUUGACUACGCCCCUCUCUUUCUCUCUCACGAUUAUCGGCACCCACAUCUUGCACCAUGGCUGGUCACCAUUACCAGCCUCUACCAUAUCUGCUUUUAGUUCUUUCCCUAGAUUCUGUUAUUUGAUGAAGGCACCACUUUAUUGGGAUCUCUAUUUGCCAAAAGGAUUGGACUCCGACAUGAUUUGUUUUUAGCUAACAUAAUUCUUAAUAUCAAGGAACUACACCAGCAUCAAAGUCAUCUUACUAUCUUGCUGCUUAUUGCUUGAACAGACCAGAUAGGAUGCUAGACAAUUUAGCAAAUGACAAAAUAAAUCUUGUGGAGGUAUCAAGAUUUUUUAUGAUAAGCUGUAAUAACUGAUCUUGGGUGGCUCCUUUCCUUCCAUGUCAACCUCUUUAAUAUGCAGUGGAUGUAGUUCUUUCUUGUUACAGGGUGCAAUUGUGUUUUCUAUCAUCGUAACUACGGUUUCACCAACUUAUGCUUAAAAGGUCCGGACUACUCGGGUAUAACUUUAUUUCCUUAGGACUACAACAAAAAGCAUUUUUACCAAUA
Lycium ferocissimum is the source of this 726-nucleotide long non-coding RNA. RefSeq lists it as uncharacterized. The transcript is spliced from 3 exons. NCBI's taxonomy places the organism in Eukaryota, Viridiplantae, Streptophyta, Magnoliopsida, Solanales, Solanaceae. The record is from RefSeq and is a predicted model, not a curated record.